This 718-nucleotide long non-coding RNA is filed under the name Zonotrichia albicollis (white-throated sparrow). RNAcentral's name for it is "lncRNA (ENSZALG00000009567.1)". The record is from RNAcentral. Lineage: Eukaryota; Metazoa; Chordata; Aves; Passeriformes; Passerellidae.
CGUGCUCCGGGCAGCCCUCGGCUGGCCGUGAUUAACGCUCAUUAGCUGUUGUCCCUGGGCUCGAUACCGCCCGCCCCCACCGCCCGUGCCGCUUGUCGCCGGACUGACCCGAGAGCUCGAGUCCUGGGUCGCCCAGGGACACGGGAUGGAAAAUGUCAAAUCCACUCGCGGAGUUGUUUGUGCAGGGCUGGAGUGCCGUGCCUGAUGCUUCGGGAGCCCAAGGUGUGAGAGGAGUGUCAAAAGCACGAGCGGAACCUCCUGCAUGAGGGAAAAGAGUGCAGGCAAUAUCAGCACUAACACCGCGGCAGCCGAAGUACCGAGGGAAACCUCGGAAUCACCACACCAUUUGCAGCUAACAAUUUCACCUGUAUAAACACGGUAUCCUAAACACAGACCUUCAUCACAGUAAAAUCACAGAAAGAUACCUCACACCAACAGACUGAAGAAAAACAACAGGUGGAUGCAGAAGAAACCCACUCAGAGCAAUGCUUCAGCUACUGUGUGAGUUACAGUAACCAUCAGAACAUGAGACCAUCUGAGCCAAAAUUCCUGCUGUUUUUAGUCCUUACAAGUCUCAUUUGAGAUGAAUGAUUGGUAUUCUCCAACCAAAGGGACAGUCAAGGUAACAAGUCACAAGGAAGCUGGAAUUCCCAACCAAUCUGAAUACUUAGACCUGGCCAUCUCCCUUAACUGCUCCUUCUUGUUGGUAAUAAUGCUG